CUCGCCCAUAAGCACUCGAAUAUUUGGUCGUUGUCUUAGUCAGUACUCGCUAGGCUCUGUAGACAUCCACCAAAUUUACUAACUGACAUUUACAGCAAACAUGACAGCAACAGUCAGCAGGAACAAGAGCUACACAGACAAAACAACAACAGCAACAGCAGCAGGCCUACUGAGGGGCCACAUACAAAAUUUGAUUUUUGUGUCAGUUAGUCAGAAAACUGCACUGAAUUAUGCUGAGCCGGUCGGGGUGUUGUGGGUGUGCUAGGCUAGGCACGGAAUGGCUGUAUGCAUGAAUGAUUUGUUGGCGAUUCGGUUAGAUUUUUUGAUGUUUUACUAUUUUUGCUGGCCAAGAGGUUGUGAAGCCAUUGGAUGGUCGUGACGUUGCGUUAAUUGCCACUGCAACACAAGGACAUGGCCAACAACUGCAGACAAGAAAAACAAACCAGAAACACAACAUUGCCUCUAACUACUCAGGUGUCUGAGGUACAACUUGAUGUUAAUCCUUGGGUAACUCCUCUAAUCGGACCGUGUCGUGCCACACACCAAAUGUGAAAGUUGCAACUUUAUGAGGCAAAGAAGAUCUCCUUACUGCCUUCUGAGCAAGUAACUACGGCGCUCCUUGUUGCAGACUUCUUCAGCCAUUGACCCAUCCGACGCAGCUACUUACCACCAGGCAGCAUUAUCCACAGCGGUAAUCGCUACAGGAACAAGGUAGACCACACAACUUAUCUCCCACCCCACGCACAGUGACAGGCCUCCCAAUGCACACGGCGCUACCACAACUGAACUGCAACAGACUCCAGGGCAAGAUCGAAGAGAUAAUCCCCUUUAUGGGUCGGUAUGACAUACUGAAAGAUCUGGUCCAUGUAAUGGAGUUGCACAGUAAUUUGACUCUGUUGAAUUCCGACGCCAAAAAUUUGCUCCGUAAAAUAGUGAUGAAGACAAUCCUGGAGGUCCUAUAUCAGAUUAGAUAUAUGGCUGGUAUAUGAUAUAGUGCCUAGGACCGAACAAACUCUAUAGUACAUAUCUAAACCGAAUUUCGGGCUGAUAACUUCAAAUCUAUGUGCGAUUCGUGACCGAUUUUCGAAGGGCUCUUUGGUUCUUUGUACUUAUUUUUUGGGUUAUUCUGAGAUCAUUUUCCGGUUCUUUCGGAACCGUUUUUCAGUUCUUUUGGAAUACAGUUGCAGUUCUUCCCAAACCGUUUUUUUUUUUGUUCUUUUGGAAUCGAGUUUCGGUUCUUCCGGAACCGUUUAAUGGUUUUUUGGGAAUAAAAUUUCUGUUCUGCCAGAACCGUUUCUCUGUUCUUUUGGAAUCGAAUCUCGGUUCUUCUGGAACCGCUUUUUUUGGUUUAUUUGUAUUCGAGUUUCGGUUCUUCUAGAACCGUUUUUCUGUUCUUUUGGAAUCGAGUUUUGGUUCCGUUAGAACCGUUUUUCGGGUCUUGUAAGAACCGGACCGGUCGGUUCCUGAAAGGACCCGGUUAUUCGGUUCCGGUUUUAGAUUUCACACAUCCUAGAUAUAUAUUUUUAUCUAAGCUUGAAGCUAAUAAUGCCUAAUAUUGCCAUUAAGUCUGUAACUUUUAUCUUUAAGUUGAUUUUGUACCGCUACUCUGUAAGGAUUUGUUAGCAUAU
RNAcentral lists this long non-coding RNA (1628 nucleotides) under Rhagoletis pomonella (apple maggot). RNAcentral's name for it is "uncharacterized LOC118736661". Lineage: Eukaryota; Metazoa; Arthropoda; Insecta; Diptera; Tephritidae. The record is from RNAcentral.